Small nuclear RNA from Mesocricetus auratus (golden hamster), 102 nucleotides. The record is from RefSeq and is a predicted model, not a curated record. NCBI's taxonomy places the organism in Eukaryota, Metazoa, Chordata, Mammalia, Rodentia, Cricetidae.
GUGUGCUUCAACACAUAUACUAAAAUUGGAAUGAUAUAGAGAAAAUUAGCAUGACCCCUGCACGAGGAUGACACCCAAAUUCGUGAAGUGUUCAAUAUUUUU